This 253-nucleotide ribosomal RNA is filed under the name uncultured bacterium. Its description in RNAcentral is "partial 16S ribosomal RNA". It matches the Rfam family "Bacterial small subunit ribosomal RNA", at positions 524 to 776 of the family's 1533-position model. The record is from RNAcentral.
UACGUAGGGUGCGAGCGUUGUCCGGAAUUAUUGGGCGUAAAGGGCUCGUAGGCGGUUUGUCGCGUCGGGAGUGAAAACUCAGGGCUUAACCCUGAGCCUGCUUCCGAUACGGGCAGACUAGAGUGUGGUAGGGGAGACUGGAAUUCCUGGUGUAGCGGUGAAAUGCGCAGAUAUCAGGAGGAACACCGAUGGCGAAGGCAGAUCUCUGGGCCGUAACUGACGCUGAGGAGCGAAAGCAUGGGGAGCGAACAGG